Molecule: long non-coding RNA, 380 nt
Filed under: Solanum tuberosum (potato)
Lineage: Eukaryota; Viridiplantae; Streptophyta; Magnoliopsida; Solanales; Solanaceae
Description: long non-coding RNA (STUB_LNC001841)
Source: RNAcentral
AUAAAAAAUAGUAUUCUUAUAUAAAUUGAAACAUCCAUGUCCAAACAUAAAAUCAAAUCCAGAAACAUCAAGUCUUGAAAGGGAAAUCAAAUUCCUAGAAACUGAAGGAACAUAAAGAGUCUGUAAUAGAUCAAGGUGAUGUCCAGUCUCCAAGAUCAAUCGAUAAGUCCCUAUGCCUUCAAUUUGAGCCUUCAUGCGAUUUCCCAUAAAUACGAAAUCCUUAUUUGGAUUUGUAGUUUUGAUCGUAGUGAAUCCCUGCAACAUAGUGGAUACAUGAGUAGUUGGACUAGAAUCAAGCCACCAAGUAUUAUUAGGAACUUCUACUAAAUUUGAUUCGAAACAUACAAAAGCACUAAAUGUACCUUUCUUUUCAAACCAAG